This 944-nucleotide long non-coding RNA is filed under the name Vombatus ursinus (common wombat). RNAcentral's name for it is "lncRNA (ENSVURG00010002403.1)". The record is from RNAcentral. Lineage: Eukaryota; Metazoa; Chordata; Mammalia; Diprotodontia; Vombatidae.
UUAUAUAACAAUUCUGUUAGAUGAAGAAAUUGAGAACUUAGGAGUUGUAGCAUCUUGUCCAUGGUCACACAGGUUUCAAAUCCAGGUCUCAUCUGAUUCAAGUGCUAUUUUCAUUACACCACUCUGCCUAUUUCUUAGAGACUUUAUUAAAUCUUUAUGAUUUCAUUGGUCAAAAUUAGAAACGCCAGUUGUCUCCAUCCCUUAAUGCAUUUCUAUUUUAAGUAAUUUUACCACUAUAUGCCUGCACUCUCAUGUUUGAAACCUCCAAUUUUCAACCAGUUAAUAUUACGGUGAUCAAGAAUUAGUCCACCAAGAGAUUGUGUGCCAGUUGUCCUUGGACCAUUCCAGCAUGUAAACAGAUGAACAUGUCUCUGCAAAGGAACAAAGAUCCAGACAGUUAUAGGACAAAGAGAAAAGUAGCACCAUCUGAAAAUAAACAAGCCUGAACUUCAUCUACACUGAAUGAUUUUAAAACCAAAAGAUAUCUUGACUUGGUGAAUACAGGGCCAGCUUCAGAGUCAGGAAAAUCCAAUUUUAAGUCCUGUACACAUGAAGAAACUAAAGGAACAAAGUGUGUGUGUGUGUGUGUGUGUGUGUGUGUGUGUUUAGAGGUGGGAGUUAUUGAUGUACCCAAAGUCACAGCCUUCAAACAAAGAUCUUCUGAUAUCAGACAUCACUCCUUAGAAAACAUCGAGAUCAAUUCUGUCACCUAAAGCUGAUGGAUCUGAGGCCCACUGUCUCCUGGGAAGUCGAGGGGUAAAGUAGGUAUUCAGCCCAAGGUCAUCUUUCUCCAAAUACUGUAUUCUUUUCACUUCAACAACCUUACAAAUGAGAACAUUUUGUCUAUUGUCUAUUUAGUGAUAAAACAUGGAAAUACUUUUCUAAACAUGUAUAAAUUAAUGAAUGAUAUUAAUAAAAUGGAAUUAUAUAGUAAGAUAAAGCCA